This 256-nucleotide ribosomal RNA is filed under the name Patescibacteria group bacterium. RNAcentral describes it as "partial 23S ribosomal RNA". It matches the Rfam family "Bacterial large subunit ribosomal RNA", at positions 1 to 275 of the family's 2925-position model. The record is from RNAcentral.
UUACAUAUUUUUAAGAGCCAGAAAAGGAUGCCUUGGGUGAGAAAGCCGAUGAAAGACCUGGUUGGCUGGGAAAAGCCACGAUGAGACGCCAACAGUCGCUAUAGUCGUGGAUGUCUGAAUGGGGAAACCUAUCCUUCGGGAUGUCCCAUAUUUGGGUUCGGCAAGCUUGGGAAGUGAAAUAUCUCAGUACCAAGAAGAAAAGAAAUCGUAAGAGAUUCCGUUAGUAGUGACGAGCGAACGCGGAGGAGUCUAAACC